UACAGGGGGUGCAAACGUUGCUCGGAAUCAUUGGGCGUAAAGCGCACGUAGGCGGUCUGUUAUGUCGGAUGUGAAAGCCCUCGGCUCAACUGGGGAGGGUCACGCGAUACUGCUCGACUCGAAGGCAGGAGAGGGAAGUGGAAUUCCCGGUGUAGUGGUGGAAUGCGUAGAUAUCGGGGGGAAUACCAGUGGCGAAAGCGGCACCCUAGCGUUAGCCUGACGCUCAUGUGCGAAAGCGUGGGGAGCGAACGGG
Molecule: ribosomal RNA, 253 nt
Filed under: uncultured bacterium
Lineage: Bacteria
Description: partial 16S ribosomal RNA
Rfam family: Bacterial small subunit ribosomal RNA
Source: RNAcentral